GAUGCCAGCCAUGGCAGCAGGAGUCCCAGCAGGGGGAAAUCUCCCUCACUUAAAGUCACACAACAAAGCAAGCAGAGUUAUCCUUUCAUCUGCACUCUGCUCAUCUGUGCCUCCAGUGUCCCCUGGAUAAGAUCAUAGGAACAGAAAGGGACCAUGUCCACCCAGGCAAUGUGCUAAGAAACUUUAACUUCUUCCUGAGUAACCUGAGGGAUGUUGGACUUCUAACUCCCUAGACUCCAGCUUCUACAAAGUAGCCUGUGGUGGCCACACGGCUACCCGGGGAACUCUACGGAUCCCACCUUGUUGAAUCACAGUUCUGGCUGGCCUCACCAGUCACCUCUGGGGCUUUACACAGCAUAGCCCUGCUGGGCUCCAGUGUAGAUUCUGAAGCAGUGCCCAGUGGGACCCACACUUUACAAAGGGUGACCCGUGCCAUCACUUGCAUGUCCCCGAGGGCUGGCCAUCAUAUUUCCAGCAUGUGGAGAGCAGCCGCAGGGUAGGACAUCCAAGUCAAUUCAUCUCAUUAGAUUCUUCCCUGAACACUAGAGUUCGCAGAACUCCCUAGAGCACAGAUGACUCCAAACACAGGGUCCCAAGAAAAACCUAUUCCUGGGAGUUACAUAGCCUUCACUUAAUAAAAUCUCACCUUUGCGUGCACGAUUC
This 663-nucleotide long non-coding RNA is filed under the name Mus pahari (shrew mouse). RNAcentral describes it as "lncRNA (MGP_PahariEiJ_G0003997.1)". The record is from RNAcentral. Lineage: Eukaryota; Metazoa; Chordata; Mammalia; Rodentia; Muridae.